UAAUUUGGAUAAAUUUAAGUAGAACAAAAUAAUAAAUAAAAGGAAAACUAAACGCAAAAAGAAGAUGCAUGCUAAAAGAGGGGUAUCACUAAAUAUUAAAGAUGGGUCCUAAGGCCCAUAGUCCAACUUUAACCUAAAACACAAAUAAUAAAACCAUAAAAUUAAUAAUAAAAAAAACAAAGAAAAACACAAAUAAGAAUAAAUGACAGGGCGUAGCCCCCACUCACAAAGAUUUGCCCAUAUUAUUUCAAAAACACAAUCCCAAAGCCAAUAGUAUUAUGACAUGGCGUUACUUUUAAUAAAAUGAAGAAAAAAACCUUAUUCACCUUAAUGCUUGUAAAAACGCAAAAUAAACAAAAGAAAAGAGGAAACUUUCUUCCUCAUAUCAAUCACACUCUCUAUAUGAACAAAC
This 412-nucleotide long non-coding RNA is filed under the name Lathyrus oleraceus (garden pea). RNAcentral's name for it is "Pisum sativum (pea) long non-coding RNA (PSAT_LNC031670)". Lineage: Eukaryota; Viridiplantae; Streptophyta; Magnoliopsida; Fabales; Fabaceae. The record is from RNAcentral.